Oreochromis niloticus (Nile tilapia) is the source of this 360-nucleotide non-coding RNA. Lineage: Eukaryota; Metazoa; Chordata; Actinopteri; Cichliformes; Cichlidae. The record is from the annotation of a RefSeq genome assembly.
AUGGUGGUUGUGCUUUCUGCUGUGUUGACUGACAGAUCGAGUGUGGUGAGGCCCACUCUCACAGUCCUCCCUCCAUCCAAAGAGGAAGACAAACAGAGUAGUGCCACUCUGGUGUGUUUGGCCACCGGGGGCUUCCCCUCAAACUGGAAUUUGGGCUGGAAGGUGGGGGGCACCAGCACAUCCUCAGGGGUGUCAACCAGCCUGGAGGUCUUGGGGACAGACGGCCGCUACAGCUGGAGCAGCACCCUGAGCCUCUCUGCAGACCAGUGGAGGAAGGCGGGCUCAGUGAGCUGUGAGGCCAGUCUGAGUGGACAGAGCCCUGUCACUCAAACCCUGGACCCUGACCACUGCUCAGAGUAG